GUCGCUGUGUCAGUUAUAUUAUUGUGUGUUGAAAGUUCUGUCUCCUUGCCUGUUCUCGGACUUUGUUGUUUUGGUUAGUGUGAUCCGUUUUGCUAAUAUUCCCCAAUUCUCGGAACUGAAAGUGGAUUGUCACCUUUGUAUACCUGCCCCACGCCCUGUCAGGCCAGGGUUCCUCACGGCGUUUCAGGCUAAGGAUGGUGUGUAAGGACAGCAGGACAAGCUGUGUGAGCCAGUGACGUUGAUGCACUGUCUGGGCAGACCUGUGAAGGACAAGCUGUGUGAGCCAGUGACAUUGAGGAACUGUCUGGGCAGACCUGUGAAGGACAAGCUGUGUGAGCCAGUGACAUUGAGGAACUGUCUGGGCAGACCUGUGAAGGACAAGCCGUGUGAGCCAGUGACGUUGAGGCACUGUCUGGACAGACCUGUGAAGGACAAGCUGUGUGAGCCAGUGACGUUGAUGCACUGUCUGGGCAGACCUGUGAAGGACAAGCCAUGUGUGCCAGUGACUUUGAGACACUGCAGACCUGAGAACAUGGCGUGUUCCACACACGGCCGCGGCCGGAAUCGACCCCCACAGCCCUGGAGGUGAGAGACCAUAGUGCUGCCCACCGAGCUCCUGUGCUGGUUGAUCAUCCUUGGUCUCAUCAGUAAAUUCAGUACAUUACCCUACAAAACAAGCUUCUGUAGUCCAUUGAAGUAAUAUCUCCUUAAGUGUUAGUAUGUACUGUAAAGGACUCUGGGGCAACAAUUUUUGGAAUGUAAUACAUUGUUAUGGUAGGAGAAUGAACCUAAUUAGGUUGUUGUAAAAAAAUGACAAUCUAAAAUAUGACAAAGGGUGCAUAGAUUCUAGUUAUAGGGUAAACGGACAGGUCAUUAUAGAAAAUGAAUGGGUACUUUCCCAGCAUGCAAUUUUCAUACGAAACAACGUUCUGUUUGCUCACAAUGCUGA
Molecule: long non-coding RNA, 949 nt
Organism: Paramormyrops kingsleyae
Lineage: Eukaryota; Metazoa; Chordata; Actinopteri; Osteoglossiformes; Mormyridae
Source: RefSeq, a predicted model, not a curated record